Lutra lutra (Eurasian river otter) is the source of this 490-nucleotide long non-coding RNA. RefSeq lists it as uncharacterized. The record is from RefSeq and is a predicted model, not a curated record. The transcript is spliced from 3 exons. NCBI's taxonomy places the organism in Eukaryota, Metazoa, Chordata, Mammalia, Carnivora, Mustelidae.
GAUGAGAGCGGCUGACGGCUAGGGCUCCCCCAUAGGGGCGACCUUCGAAUGGCCCGCCUCAGUCGCCCGGCGGCGGCUGCCAUCGAUACCGCCAUCUUAACUCGGGGCAGUGACUUCACGGGGUCAAAGGGCACCGCGGAGAUAGACGGUGACUUGGAAAGGAAGCCGCGCGGUUUUUACAGCGGUCCCUGGCGGUAGGAGGACUCAAGGCAGCCUCUACUGCCCAGGUUACAGUUGGAGUUGCAGUGAACAGACAUGGAUUCAACUUCAUGUGUCUGCGCGUGUGUAUGUUUGUGUUUCUGGGCCGAGGGAAGAAGGCAGAGUGCCAAGAGAGGGAAGCCAAGUGGUUCUUUUAGGAUUGCGAUGUAUCUGUUCUGAUUUGCCACUGUCCUCGGAUGAGGAAGUGAAGCUUAAGGUCUUCAGUUUCUCAGGAUAGAUAUGCAUGGAGAGAACUCACCAGACUGGGAAGUUACUGACCUGGGAACUUUUC